AAAGUCGUAACAAGGUUUCCGUAGGUGAACCUGCGGAAGGAUCAUUCACAAUUAGUGUUUAAUGGCACUUUCAAUCCAUUACCCACCUUGUGUGCAUUGUCGGGAGGACUUUAUUCUCUUCUCCUCUUUCAGAGGGCGGAGGGAUGAGGUUCUCUUUUCAUACAUUCACUUUCUUCAGUAUUUGUCUAAUUUUUUAAGAGUAUAAAACUCGAAUACAACUUUCAACAACGGAUCUCUUGGCUCUC
Molecule: unclassified non-coding RNA, 245 nt
Filed under: Mucoromycotina sp.
Lineage: Eukaryota; Fungi; Mucoromycota
Description: partial contains small subunit ribosomal RNA, internal transcribed spacer 1, and 5.8S ribosomal RNA
Rfam family: Eukaryotic small subunit ribosomal RNA (bases 1-47)
Source: RNAcentral